UCGAGCGAACACUUUUGCGGAUUUCUUCGGAUUGAAGCAAUUGUGACUGAGCGGCGGACGGGUGAGUAACGCGUGGGUAACCUGCCUCAUACAGGGGGAUAACAGUUGGAAACGGCUGCUAAUACCGCAUAAGCGCACAGUACCGCAUGGUACCGUGUGAAAAACUCCGGUGGUAUGAGAUGGACCCGCGUCUGAUUAGGUAGUUGGUGGGGUAACGGCCUACCAAGCCGACGAUCAGUAGCCGACCUGAGAGGGUGACCGGCCACAUUGGGACUGAGACACGGCCCAAACUCCUACGGGAGGCAGCAGUGGGGAAUAUUGCACAAUGGGGGAAACCCUGAUGCAGCGACGCCGCGUGAGCGAUGAAGUAUUUCGGUAUGUAAAGCUCUAUCAGCAGGGAAGAAAAUGACGGUACCUGACUAAGAAGCCCCGGCUAACUACGUGCCAGCAGCCGCGGUAAUACGUAGGGGGCAAGCGUUAUCCGGAUUUACUGGGUGUAAAGGGAGCGUAGACGGCAUGGCAAGCCAGAUGUGAAAGCCCGGGGCUCAACCCCGGGACUGCAUUUGGAACUGUCAGGCUAGAGUGUCGGAGAGGAAAGCGGAAUUCCUAGUGUAGCGGUGAAAUGCGUAGAUAUUAGGAGGAACACCAGUGGCGAAGGCGGCUUUCUGGACGAUGACUGACGUUGAGGCUCGAAAGCGUGGGGAGCAAACAGGAUUAGAUACCCUGGUAGUCCACGCCGUANACGAUGAAUACUAG
RNAcentral lists this ribosomal RNA (756 nucleotides) under uncultured bacterium. Its description in RNAcentral is "bacterial SSU rRNA". It matches the Rfam family "Bacterial small subunit ribosomal RNA", at positions 62 to 819 of the family's 1533-position model. The record is from RNAcentral.